Molecule: long non-coding RNA, 1369 nt
Organism: Helianthus annuus (common sunflower)
Lineage: Eukaryota; Viridiplantae; Streptophyta; Magnoliopsida; Asterales; Asteraceae
Exons: 4
Source: RefSeq, a predicted model, not a curated record
GUGGCUAGAUAAUAAAUGGAGCCCACAUCAAUUCUCUUAUGUAUGCACAUACGAAGCCACCCAAGACUUCAAAUCUCCAAGAUUAAAGUUCAAGAGUUUCUUUUCAUUCCCCACUUCUUCUCUCCUACUUUCUCUUUCUAAACAAUCCGGCAGGCAGCAAUUCUGGUGAGUGAGCUCCGGCGGCGGUGCCGCCGUGAGCGGCGGCAGAGAUGACUUUUCGUUUGAGCAGCGAUUAGUGGGGAUACGAGUGACGGCGGCACAUCUCCACCUCCAACGAGCUCCGUUAAGUGGGUGAUGCCGGGAACGGUGAGGGUGGCUGAGGUGGUGACGAUGCUGUGGUGCGACAUGGACCGGCAACCCACUUCGCGGCGGUGGCGGUGAACUCCGACGAUUUUCACGUUCCGGAUCGACUCUGUUCAACUCGGCUCAACCCGGUCGACUCGGUCAACCGGUCAAAGUAGGUCAACAAGUCAACGGAUGGCUCGGUUUGGUCAACGACUCAGAGUUUCGGGUCUCGGUUCGAAAUUCGGGUCAACACUCAGUCAACGCUUAGUCAACAGCAGGCAACGGUAUUGUUCGGUUUCAGAAUUUUUGGUUCGGGUCUUGGUUUUAGUACUACAAGUGCAACAGUUAGCGGUUCGGCUCAGUUUCGAUGUUCGGGUCAAAGAUGGUCAACGGGUCAACAUCUGGUCAAACCCGAGUCAAACUCGGUCAACACCAGUCAACAGAAGUCAAGGAUGGUCAACUCAGACCCGGUUGCAUUUUCAAAACUAUGGAACGGUUGGAAUAGGAGAACCCAUGGGAAUUCGAGUACUUAUCGGCGUUCACUGUUUAGAAGUCUUAACCAUUUGCUUUCGCUGUGCAAUGAAGAUACCAGUCCAGUCACGCCAGCUCUGAUAAUUUCGGGGUGUGACAGGAUAAGGAUUGCACUAAUGGUUAAUCAACUAAGAACACUAACGCAUAUGAUUCUGAUUAUCAAUAUGUUGAGGAAGAUAACAUACUGUAUGAUAUUGAAGUGGAUAUGCAGAGAUUUGGGUCUAAUGUAGAGUUUACAUGUGAAGAACGGUAUGAGUCAAGUGAUUAGGAUCAUGAUGAUCAGGGAGUGUUGUAGGUCAUGUGCCAAUUGAUGUUGACAACCUUGAUAGUGGAUCUGAUGACAAUACAAUACUUAGAGAUAAGGUUGCCAAGAAGAUAAGAUGGAAAAAGAAAGUUGUUGAGAAGAAAAAGGGUGCAUCAUGUCACACCCCAACCAACGGCGAAAACAUCGGAGAGAGACGAAAUAGAUUGCUCAUUACACAUAACAUAAUUUUGACAAGUAUUUAAUGGUAAAUUUCAUUUCAUUGCUAUAAGGAUCAAAUUACAUUGUUUG